RNAcentral lists this ribosomal RNA (412 nucleotides) under Mesobuthus gorelovi. RNAcentral's name for it is "partial 16S ribosomal RNA". It matches the Rfam family "Archaeal large subunit ribosomal RNA", at positions 2033 to 2681 of the family's 2987-position model. The record is from RNAcentral. Lineage: Eukaryota; Metazoa; Arthropoda; Arachnida; Scorpiones; Buthidae.
GUAGCAUAAUCAUUAGUCUUUUAAUUGGGGACUAGAAUGAAAGGGUAAACUGGAAAAGACUUUUUUAAGGUAAAAAAAUGAAGUUGACUUUUUAGUAAGAAGGCUAAAAUAAUUCUUAAAGACAAGAAGACCCUAUAAAACUUUAUAUUUACUAUUUUAGGAAAAGAAAUAAAUAUUUUGCUGGGGCGGUAGGAAAAAUAACUUUUCUUAAUUUUAAAGACUUAAUGAGUCUUAAUACCUAAAAUUUUUAAAAUAAGAACAAGUUACUUUAGGGAUAACAGCUUAAUUCACUUUAAAAGUUCUAAUUGACAAGUGAGUUUAUGACCUCGAUGUUGAAUUAAAAGUCCUCUUUAGCGCAAAAGCUCUAAAAGGAGGUCUGUUCGACCUUUAAACUUUUCCAUGAUCUGAGUCA